Molecule: long non-coding RNA, 477 nt
Organism: Carlito syrichta (Philippine tarsier)
Lineage: Eukaryota; Metazoa; Chordata; Mammalia; Primates; Tarsiidae
Exons: 4
Source: RefSeq, a predicted model, not a curated record
AGUCCUGGAUCCAAGUUUCCUACACAGGAUGGUGUGUGGCGGUUAGAAGAUGCUGUGCCAAGAUUUUGUUGACCAGAUGUACAGAAUGCUCCAAUCUCAAGCAGUGCAUUCAAGUUUUUCCAAGGGCUGUGUUUGCAUAAUUGUGAACAGGCCUUUGUUCACCAGCUAUACAAGACCAAGCUGACCUGAUCUAAUUGUAAUCAGCCUUUCCUGACUGCCCACCAACCCAUCAGAGGCUGAAGCCCUGGAGUCACAGGACUGGUUGCCCUGAUAACACCAUGGACAUGCUCAUGCUACCAUUUGGAAGAAAAAAAAAAAAAGGUUCCUAACGGCUAAAACCAGCCCAGUAAAUAUGGAAAACAAAUCUUAAAAUUACUUCAAACAGUCUCCCUUCCUAAAGAAAUUAAGGUUGCUCAGCCUUGGAGCAUUAGCUUGCUGAGUUGCACCGGUGCCAAUAAACAUUGCUUCCUGAAAUAG